Molecule: non-coding RNA, 1319 nt
Organism: Peromyscus maniculatus bairdii (prairie deer mouse)
Lineage: Eukaryota; Metazoa; Chordata; Mammalia; Rodentia; Cricetidae
Source: RefSeq, a predicted model, not a curated record
GGUUCAAAAAGCCUCUAAGAAAUACCUCAGUUGUAGACAGUGAGCCAGUCAGAUUCACUGUUAAAGUAACAGGAGAACCCAAACCAGAAAUCACAUGGUGGUUUGAAGGAGAAAUGCUGCAGGACGGAGAAGACUACCAGUACAUUGAAAGAGGUGAAACUUACUGCCUCUAUUUACCAGAAACUUUCCCAGAAGAUGGAGGAGAAUAUAUGUGUAAAGCAGUCAACAAUAAAGGCUCUGCAGCAAGUACCUGCAUUCUUACCAUUGAAAUGGAUGACUACUAGGCUUCCUUCUCUUCUUGGAACUCACUCUCUCAACUCUCUUGCUACAUCUCUGUGGAGGGGCCAUGAGGAGACCAGAGGUGCCACUCUGUUGACUUAAUACCCUUCCCCAAAUCUUCAAAAUAGGAGCUCAUCCAAAGACUGCCUUUUCUAAUGCACACCAGGUUACCAUGUUGUGCCCAGUCAAAAUGUAGUUGACAGGAAGGGAAAUGUACUUAUUAUGUGAGAACCUAAAACAAAAGCUUUGUAUUUUCCAUAUUUAUAGCAAUUAUGCUUAAAGUAUACAUUGUAUGCAUGAAAGAAUUUAAGAGUUUUUACAUCUAAAAUUAGCCAGAGAGGACAAUGAAAUUGGAACUGAUCAGUCUUCCUCUGUAGCAUGUAAUUGCUGUGGAUUCCAAGUUUUUAUGAAGUAGAUAUACUUACAAAAGGAGUAGCAUUCUUUUCAUGAGAAAGGUGGAGCAUUGAAAAGAAAAAAACCAAGUAGAAUAUUUUUUAGAAACUAAACUAAAUUUGAUAGAAACCAAAGCUUACAGUGUUCCAAGAUGGCAGUUAUUUAACAUAUGCGUUUCAAAUGUGUAAUGACCACACUUAAGUUUAUGCUGUUACCUGCCUGAACAAAUUAUACUUUAAUGAGAAAAUAUUAGUAUUCCAUGCAAGAACAAAUGUUUUUAACAUCACUGAAGGUUUCAAGACCUAGGAGGAUUCGAUUCAGAAAAAAAAAAGAUUCAUUUUAAAAUUCUUGCUUUAAAAAUAAGUCUGUAAAUGUCUGGAGUGACAGUGCAUGCCAUUAAUCCCAAAACUUGGGAGACAAAGGCAGGUGGAUCUCUAUGAGUUCAAGGUCGGCCUGAUCUACAUAGUGAGUUCCAGGACAGUCAGGACUACAUAGUGAAACUGUCUCAAAACAACAAAGUCUGUAAAUAAUUAUAACUAGAAACGUUCUAUUAUUUGGUUGUUUUAUAUUUAUAUUCAAUUUCCUGGAAAACAAUUUUAUUUUACAUUGUGAAACCAUAAUAAAGUUACCUGUGCAUUAAAAAAAAA